AGCGAACGCUGGCGGCAGGCUUAACACAUGCAAGUCGAGCGCCCCGCAAGGGGCGCGGCAGACGGGAGAGUAACACGUGGGAACAUACCUUUUGGUUCGGAACAACUGAGGGAAACUUCAGCUAAUACCGGAUAAGCCCUUACGGGGAAAGAUUUAUCGCCGAAAGAUUGGCCCGCGUCUGAUUAGCUAGUUGGUGAGGUAACGGCUCACCAAGGCGGCGAUCAGUAGCUGGUCUGAGAGGAUGAUCAGCCUCACUGGGACUGAGACACGGCCCAGACUCCUACGGGAGGCAGCAGUGGGGAAUAUUGGACAAUGGGGGCAACCCUGAUCCAGCCAUGCCGCGUGAGUGAUGAAGGCCUUAGGGUUGUAAAGCUCUUUUGCCCGGGAAGAUAAUGACGGUACCGGGAGAAUAAGCCCCGGCUAACUUCGUG
Molecule: ribosomal RNA, 431 nt
Filed under: uncultured bacterium
Lineage: Bacteria
Description: partial 16S ribosomal RNA
Rfam family: Bacterial small subunit ribosomal RNA
Source: RNAcentral